Molecule: ribosomal RNA, 254 nt
Filed under: uncultured bacterium
Lineage: Bacteria
Description: partial 16S ribosomal RNA
Rfam family: Bacterial small subunit ribosomal RNA
Source: RNAcentral
UACGAGGGGGGCGAGCGUUGUUCGGAAUUAUUGGGCGUAAAGGGUGCGUAGGCGGUUUUGUAAGUCUUAUGUGAAAUCUAUGGGCUCAACUCAUAGACUGCAUGAGAAACUGCAGGGCUUGAGUAUGGGAGAGGUGAGUGGAAUUCUUGGUGUAGCGGUGAAAUGCGUAGAUAUCAAGAGGAACACCUGAGGUGAAGACGGGUUGCUGGGCCGACACUGACGCUGAGUGCGCGAAAGCCAGGGGAGCAAACGGG